UAUUAGGGUACCCUCUAGGAGCUGAGAGUGACCCAUGCAACAGCCAGCAAGAAAGUGGGGAGUCAGUCUUACCCAAGGAACUGAGUUCUAUCAACACCCUGAAUGGGUUUGGAAAUAGAUUCUUCCACAAUCGAGCCUCCUGAUGAGUUCAUAGCCCCCACUGACACCUUGAUUUCAGCCUGUUGAGAUCCUGAUUAGAGAGCCCAGUUAUGUUGUACCCAGACUUCUGACCUACAGCAACUGUAAGGGGGGGUGGGGUUGUGUUAAACCACUAAGUUUGUGAUCAUUGGUUAGGCAGCAAUAGAAAGCUAACAUAGAUGGGCAGCACAACUUUAGACUCUAGAUCUGAUGAUAUUUGUUCUGGGGAGCCCAUGAAAAAGGUUGCUACUGGACCAUGAGUACAGAUCAUCAGAGUUCAAAGGGCAUUGUGGAGAUCCCAUGUUGAACCCCAUUUCAAGUUUCUUCUCUUGUCAGAUCCACUAACAUCCCAUUGGCCAAGCAAAUCUCAUGGUCAAGCCCAAGAUCAAGGGACUGGAAGUCCGUUCCACUCACCCAGAGGCCUGAAAAGUCUAGAUAUCUAUUACCAGGGAGUUAAGAAUUAGGAUCCAUUACUUGGGAAAUUUAGCACACAUGCACAAAAUCCCUCUGGCUGGUUUUACCUCCUCCACGUCCAUCAGUACACAGCUGAGCAUAAGCAGUUACCUCCAUCAUACAUUUGAAGCUCAUGAAGCCUCCCUCACCAGUGCUGCAAAUUGGUCCAUGGAGAGCGGACAUCCAAGAAAGGAAAGUGGGAACUGGGAGAAGUCAGGGUGAGGACCAGGUACCAGUAUGAAAUUUGUGGGUUAUCAGAAACAGUUUUGGGUAAAACUGACAUGAACAGAAGUAUUCCCAGGCAGAAGGGCUUAGGUAUUUCAUAUACAUGAUUUGCUUAUGGUUUUAAGAUGGAAGUCAAACAGCAUGUUCUAAUCCUAACACCACUACUCGAGCAAGUAGUCUCUCUGAGGACUCAGUGUUCACAUCAUCUUAUAAAAAUGGCAUAAACAACGGUACCAACCUCUGAGGCAAUUGUGAGGAUUACACGAGCUCACAGAAUAAAGAAACCAAUUUCACUUU
This is a long non-coding RNA of Canis lupus familiaris (dog), 1113 nucleotides long. RefSeq lists it as uncharacterized. The record is from RefSeq and is a predicted model, not a curated record. Lineage: Eukaryota; Metazoa; Chordata; Mammalia; Carnivora; Canidae. The transcript has 2 exons.